This 301-nucleotide ribosomal RNA is filed under the name uncultured bacterium. RNAcentral's name for it is "partial 16S ribosomal RNA". It matches the Rfam family "Bacterial small subunit ribosomal RNA", at positions 512 to 809 of the family's 1533-position model. The record is from RNAcentral.
CAAGCCGCGGGAAUACGAAGGGGGCUAGCGUUGUUCGGAAUUACUGGGCGUAAAGCGCACGUAGGCGGAUUUUUAAGUCAGGGGUGAAAUCCCGAGGCUCAACCUCGGAACUGCCUUUGAUACUGGAGAUCUUGAGUUCGGAAGAGGUUGGUGGAACAGCUAGUGUAGAGGUGAAAUUCGUAGAUAUUAGCUAGAACACCAGUGGCGAAGGCGGCCAACUGGUCCGAUACUGACGCUGAGGUGCGAAAGCGUGGGGAGCAAACAGGAUUAGAUACCCCUGUAGUCCCUGUCUCUUAUACAC